Molecule: non-coding RNA, 24 nt
Filed under: Rattus norvegicus (Norway rat)
Lineage: Eukaryota; Metazoa; Chordata; Mammalia; Rodentia; Muridae
Source: RNAcentral
UUGGAGGUGCAAUCCCUGUGACGU